ACUCCUACGGGAGGCAGCAGUGGGGAAUAUUGCACAAUGGGCGCAAGCCUGAUGCAGCCAUGCCGCGUGUAUGAAGAAGGCCUUCGGGUUGUAAAGUACUUUCAGCAGUGAGGAAGGUGGGUAUGUUUAANAGCAUACCAUUUUGACGUUAGCUGCAGAAGAAGCACCGGCUAACUCCGUGCCAGCAGCCGCGGUAAUACGGAGGGUGCAAGCGUUAAUCGGAAUUACU
Molecule: ribosomal RNA, 229 nt
Filed under: uncultured bacterium
Lineage: Bacteria
Description: partial 16S ribosomal RNA
Rfam family: Bacterial small subunit ribosomal RNA
Source: RNAcentral